Molecule: ribosomal RNA, 349 nt
Filed under: uncultured bacterium
Lineage: Bacteria
Description: partial 16S ribosomal RNA
Rfam family: Bacterial small subunit ribosomal RNA
Source: RNAcentral
CCUACGGGAGGCAGCAGUAGGGAAUCUUCCACAAUGGGCGAAAGCCUGAUGGAGCAACGCCGCGUGGGUGAAGAAGGUCUUCGGAGCGUAAAACCCGGUUGGUAGAGAAGAAAGUGCGUGAGAGUAACUGUUCACGUGUAGACGGUAUCGAACCAGAAAGCCAAGGCUAACUACGUGCCCGCAGCCGCGGUAAUACGGAGGUGGCAAGCGUUAUCCGGAUUGAUUGGGCGUAAAGGGAACGCAGGCGGUCUUUUAAGUCUGAGGUGAACGCCUUCGGCUUAACCGGAGUAGUUCCUUUGAAACUGGGAGACUUGAGUGCAGCAGAGGAGAGUUGAACUCCAUGUGUAGC